CCUACGGGAGGCAGCAGUGAGGAAUAUUGGACAAUGGGCGCAAGCCUGAUCCAGCCAUGCCGCGUGCAGGAAGACGGUCCUAUGGAUUGUAAACUGCUUUUAUACAGGAAGAAACACCUCUACGUGUAGAGACUUGACGGUACUGUAUGAAUAAGCAUCGGCUAACUCCGUGCCAGCAGCCGCGGUAAUACGGAGGAUGCAAGCGUUAUCCGGAAUCAUUGGGUUUAAAGGGUCCGUAGGCGGUUUAAUAAGUCAGUGGUGAAAGCCCAUCGCUCAACGAUGGAACGGCCAUUGAUACUGUUAAACUUGAAUUAUUAGGAAGUAACUAGAAUAUGUAGUGUAGCGGUGAAAUGCUUAGAGAUUACAUGGAAUACCAAUUGCGAAGGCAGGUUACUACUAAUAUAUUGACGCUGAUGGACGAAAGCGUGGGGGAGGCGAACAGGAUUAGAUACCCUGGUAGUCCACGCCGUAAACCGAUGGAUACUAGCUGUUCGGAGCAAUCUGNGUGGNGUAGAGAAGAGAUAAGUAUCCCACCCGUCGGGGUAGGUACGGUUCGUCGAAGAAGUAGAAACGUUAAAAUUAAGUAAGUUAGUACGGUACGUGAGACGUACGACCGACGGACGACCGACCGAGGGGAGGGUUAGGGAG
RNAcentral lists this ribosomal RNA (648 nucleotides) under uncultured bacterium. RNAcentral describes it as "bacterial SSU rRNA". The stretch from base 1 to 535 matches the Rfam family "Bacterial small subunit ribosomal RNA", at positions 338 to 873 of the family's 1533-position model. The record is from RNAcentral.